Molecule: unclassified non-coding RNA, 1255 nt
Filed under: Hevea brasiliensis (rubber tree)
Lineage: Eukaryota; Viridiplantae; Streptophyta; Magnoliopsida; Malpighiales; Euphorbiaceae
Source: RNAcentral
AAAGGAUUAAUUCACAAAUUAAAAAUUUGAAUGUAGUAAUGAAAGUUGGACAAAUUAUGUGGACUCGUUGAAAACUAGGUUGCGUAACUUAUCAUGGAUGAUAACUUCUGAAUUUUUGUUAUUGUAUAUUUCCAUGAUUUGAAAACAUGUUCAAUUCUUAUUUUGAAUAUGUUAUGUUGUUUUCAUUGUGUUGAUACUACAUCAUUGAUAUGAACGACUGCUGUGUAAUAUUGAAAUAAUUAUUCUAUUACAAAUAUAAAAUUUUAGGUUUUUUUAGCAUUUUGUGUCUGACUUCUAAGAAUGCCAUACCAUGUAUUGUAUCUUCUUGAGUUGAGUUUCUUGUUUUACUGUUUGCACCUUGAUGAAUAUUCCGGGGAAAGACACAUUUGUUCAUAGAAUCUUGACUAUGAACGUUGUAUCCUGAAUUUCUAACUUCAACUUCAAUGUUGACUAUCUUUUGAAUCAUUCAAAACCUUUUGUAAUGGAUUCAAACUUUAACAAGAAAUAAUUAUGAGUAACGUUUCAAAUUCAUUCCUUAAUGGUUUGACUGGAGUAAAAGCUUCCUUAAUCUGGCAUUGGGAUCCUCUUUCCCUUGCUAAUCUAGAAAUUAAUGUAUUGCUAGUACAUAGAAAUGAUGUGGGACUAGAAAUCUCAGAUCCUAUUUGGCUUCUCUAAGUCUCCCUAUCUAAAAUGCAACAGUGAAAUUUACUAAUAAUUAAUACUUAAUCAUGAAAUAUUAAUCUAUAAUGAUUACUGUGGCCCAUUUCAGCCAUCCAUAAUUUGAAUAGCAUUUAGUGUAUGUUUUAAUAAAUUAUAUUUAUAUGUUGUUAAUGGUGAAAACUUUGUGUUGAUUUUUAAUCAAGUUCAAGUCAGAUUUUCUAAGAUCAUUGGUUAUUUGAUGCUAAGGUGUUAGAGGUGUUAAAUUUUUAAGAUUGUUGAAGGAUGCUAAAAUUUCUGUAUUAUAUCAUGCACACAUACAUCUACAUGCAAACAAUGCUAGCAAUUGAUCUUGGAAAGAAUUACUGCAGUGAUCCAGGAAUAACAUGUUUGUGUUUCAAUGCAAAGAAAAAUGUGGAUCAAAAUGGAACUGAUAAAUUUCUAAAAGUGGGUUUUGCAUGAAGAAAACAAAAUUGAUGAUGCUAUUAGUUUUGGAUCAUAUUUUCAUUAUUAUAUCAUGGCAUCUUCCUGAGUAUUAGUUUAUUAUGUGAUAUCAUUUGCCUACUCAAUGAUGCAGAUAAUUAAUGUCUACAAUCAA